CAGCGCCCCAAACUGCGCAAAUCGUACGGAAGGUGGCAAAGCCUUUUACGCGGUGCCGUGCGGACGGGCGAGAUCGGCCGGCUCCGAAAGGGACCAGGAUAUGCGAGGUCCUUUCGCCUUGUUUACAAAGUGGCUUUGAAUUCUGCCCCCCAAGGCUCGAAGAACCAGCACUCGUCCCCUGCUGCCACCAGCCAUUGCUCAUCCAUUCUACGAAAUAAAUUUGAUCUAGAAGCUCG
This is a long non-coding RNA of Dermacentor andersoni, 236 nucleotides long. RefSeq lists it as uncharacterized. The record is from RefSeq and is a predicted model, not a curated record. Lineage: Eukaryota; Metazoa; Arthropoda; Arachnida; Ixodida; Ixodidae.